GUGGAAGAAACGACUACUGAUUUUAUAUUAUAUAUAUAGAUAUAUGUAACUGGUGAAGUAAUGGGUUUAUUCUGGGAAAGUAAGUUAAGAGGAUAGUACAAUAUCAGUAUCUCUGGUAAAGGACAUUCGUUUAUUCAAUUCGUAAAUAUAGAUAUAAGAAAAUGUGGUAUGAAUACCAAUGCAGACAACUCUCCAUUGUAUGUCUUUUUUCCUGUUUCAUCUCAUUCAGACUUAUUUGGAUAUAGAUGUAAAAACAUGUAGAAUGAGUGCUAAUGAGACAACUCUCCGUCCAAGUCACAAUUUAUAAAAGUAAACCAGUAUAGGUCAAAGUACGGUCUUCAACGCGGAACCUCGGUUGAGCCGCACAGCAAGCUAUAAAGGGCCCAAAAAAUUACGAGUAAAACAAUUCAAAAGGGAAAACCAACGUUAUCUGUAUAUAUAUAUAUAAAAAAAUAUUACUUCGUAAUCAACUUCCGAGAGGUGCUAUACAGUAAACAAUGAAGACGAUAAGUGGGACUUAACAUUUACAACAAUGUAGUUUAUUUGUUAAAUCAUAUCUUUGGCAUGUACAAGUAUUUCUAAUCAUAUUGUUAUAUGUUAUAUGCCCUCCUGGGGUCAUAAUUUGUAAAUAAAAAUUCUUCUUCUGGAGUGUUGAAUAAACUUGCAUUAUAAAUGUUCUGACAAUAAAGUGUAAAAUCGUAGGGUCUUACAAACCAGUAUUCAAUGUAUAAAAAGGGGAGUGGGUGGUCACAUGGAAUGUCACAGCAAUAUUUACUUUUUCCCUUCACUUGAUAAAGGCAGAUGAUGCUCUAAACACCCAUCAUCCCCUUCCCCGGUAGCAAGGGGGUUCGAGGGGUUCAUACGACUCCUCUUGAAAACAAAUAAGCACUGUUA
This 894-nucleotide long non-coding RNA is filed under the name Mytilus galloprovincialis (Mediterranean mussel). The record is from RNAcentral. Lineage: Eukaryota; Metazoa; Mollusca; Bivalvia; Mytilida; Mytilidae.